This 1238-nucleotide long non-coding RNA is filed under the name Marmota monax (woodchuck). The record is from RNAcentral. Lineage: Eukaryota; Metazoa; Chordata; Mammalia; Rodentia; Sciuridae.
GUUUGGCAAGUGGAGAUCUCUCUCUCUCUCUCUCCUGCCUGAGCAUCAUAUGAGCCACUUCCCUCUGCCACACUCUUCUACCAUGAUGUUCUGCCUCAACACAAGCCCGGAGGAAUGGAGCCAGUUGUCCAUGGACUGAGACCUCUGAAACUGUGAGCCCUCAGAUAAACUUUUCCUUCUCUACAAUUGAGCUGAUUGGGUCUUUUUGUCACAGCAGUGAAAAAGCUGACGAAAACACAAGGAAAUACUUUGGUAGGAGAUGAAGGUAAUGGUCUCCACUGGUUCUAAGUUCUCAAGGUGCAGGUGAGCAUAAGAUGUGCUUCCUUGAGAGACAUAUGGGUGUUCUUCAGGGUCAGCUGGGCCUCUCCUGAGUCUCCUGUUGAGAUGUUCUCAUCUCCAGCCUCUGCAGGUUUCUUGGGAGGAGGUCCAAAUUCAUUUGGUAGAGCAUAGCAGACACACAAUAGGAAGAAUUUGGGCUUGGGAAUAGGACAGACCUGGGUUUCAAUUCCUUCUCCAGUAUUUGUUCUCUUAAUGAUCUUAGAAUACUUCACUUCUUAUAGUCUCAGUUUCCUCAUCUUCAAACUGGGAUUGUUGUGAAGCUUAAGUAAGAAUGAUAUGUGUAAGAAUGCAGUAUGUAUAGUGCUUGGGACAUGCCAAGGACAUGCUUGGGAUACUGAGAAAUGCUAGCCCUGACCGUCAUUGCUCUUACUGCUGUAAGUGUGAGGAAGGCUUACUGUUCUUGGUGAGCCCUAUGCAUUAGCUCAUGCCCACAAGCCCAUGGGAGGGGGGAAUCAAAUAAUAUCAAUGUAGGAAUUUCAAUGAUCGUCCCAAAGACUCUUCAUCCUCAAGUUGGUGACAGUGACAUCUUCAACCCAUGACCUUAUCUUCCCAGAUCCCAUAUGGUUAGGAAGUCUAUGACUUUUGAUGUCGGAGAUGGAACUAUCUAGAAAGAGGAGCUAAACAAGACUUCCUCCACACUCCGCUCUUCAGGUUGUAUCUUAUUAUCAAGCUCAUUUCUGAUGUUCUCUGUGGCUGCCUCCCUUGGUUAAAAACAUGUAAGUAUGGACUAGAGUGAUGGGGCAGGCAGGAUGAGUAUUCACAGGGCUGUACCCCCCACCCCCGGUCUUUGCCACCCAAUGCAGACAUGACCACAAGCUAAAAAUUAGGAAAGGUGUUUUAGCCAGGUAGUCUGGGUGGCAUGUGAGAAUGUGAAGUAGAAAAGUCUCUGCAGAAAAUGG